This 84-nucleotide transfer RNA is filed under the name Anaerolineae bacterium. RNAcentral describes it as "tRNA-Leu". It matches the Rfam family "tRNA". From Rfam's summary of the family: Transfer RNA (tRNA) molecules are approximately 80 nucleotides in length. Their secondary structure includes four short double-helical elements and three loops (D, anti-codon, and T loops). The record is from RNAcentral. Lineage: Bacteria; Bacillati; Chloroflexota; Anaerolineae.
GGGGCGGUGGCGGAACGGCAGACGCUGCGGACUUAAAAUCCGCUGGAGGAAUACUCCGUAUGGGUUCGAAUCCCAUCCGCCCUA